UACGUAGGGCGCAAGCGUUGUCCGGAAUUAUUGGGCGUAAAGAGCUCGUAGGCGGUUUGUCGCGUCUGGUGUGAAAUCUCAAGGCUCAACCUUGAGCUUGCAUUGGGUACGGGCAGACUAGAGUGCGGUAGGGGUGACUGGAAUUCCUGGUGUAGCGGUGGAAUGCGCAGAUACCAGGAGGAACACCGAUGGCGAAGGCAGGUCACUGGGCCGCAACUGACGCUGAGGAGCGAAAGCAUGGGUAGCGAACAGG
This 253-nucleotide ribosomal RNA is filed under the name uncultured bacterium. RNAcentral describes it as "partial 16S ribosomal RNA". It matches the Rfam family "Bacterial small subunit ribosomal RNA", at positions 524 to 776 of the family's 1533-position model. The record is from RNAcentral.